AGUGAACGCUGGCGGUAGGCCUAACACAUGCAAGUCGAACGGCAGCACAGUAAGAGCUUGUUCUUACGGGUGGCGAGUGGCGGACGGGUGAGGCAUACAUCGGAAUCUACUUUUUCGUGGGGGAUAACGUAGGGAAACUUACGCUAAUACCGCAUACGUCCUACGGGUGAAAUCAGGAGUUCUUCGGACCCUUCGCGAUUGAAUUAGCCGAUGUCGGAUUAGCUAGUUGGCGGGGUAAAGGCCCACCAAGGCGACGAUCCGUAGCUGGUCUGAGAGGAUGAUCAGCCACACUGGAACUGAGACACGGUCCAGACUCCUACGGGAGGCAGCAGUGGGGAAUAUUGGACAAUGGGCGCAAGCCUGAUCCAGCAAUACCGCGUGGGUGAAGAAGGUCUUCGGGUUGUAAAGCCCUUUUGUUGGGAAAGAAAAGCUGCAUGUUAAUCCGCCGAUGUCCUGACGGUACCCAAAGAGUAAGCACCGGCUAACUUCGUG
This 492-nucleotide ribosomal RNA is filed under the name uncultured bacterium. RNAcentral's name for it is "partial 16S ribosomal RNA". It matches the Rfam family "Bacterial small subunit ribosomal RNA", at positions 29 to 507 of the family's 1533-position model. The record is from RNAcentral.